This 655-nucleotide ribosomal RNA is filed under the name uncultured bacterium. RNAcentral's name for it is "bacterial SSU rRNA". It matches the Rfam family "Bacterial small subunit ribosomal RNA", at positions 139 to 813 of the family's 1533-position model. The record is from RNAcentral.
GGGGAUAACAGUUGGAAACGACCGCUAAUACCGCAUAACCGCUAGUAUCGCAUGAUACGGACGGAAAAGAUUUAUCGGUAUGAGAUGGACCCGCGUCUGAUUAGCCAGUUGGCAGGGUAACGGCCUACCAAAGCAACGAUCAGUAGCCGGCCUGAGAGGGUGAACGGCCACAUUGGGACUGAGACACGGCCCAAACUCCUACGGGAGGCAGCAGUGGGGAAUAUUGCACAAUGGGGGAAACCCUGAUGCAGCGACGCCGCGUGAGUGAGGAAGUAUUUCGGUAUGUAAAGCUCUAUCAGCAGGGAAGAAAAUGACGGUACCUGACUAAGAAGCCCCGGCUAACUACGUGCCAGCAGCCGCGGUAAUACGUAGGGGGCAAGCGUUAUCCGGAUUUACUGGGUGUAAAGGGAGCGUAGACGGUUAAUCAAGUCAGAAGUGAAAACCCAGGGCUCAACCUUGGGACUGCUUUUGAAACUGAGUAGCUAGAGUGCAGGAGAGGUAAGCGGAAUUCCUAGUGUAGCGGUGAAAUGCGUAGAUAUUAGGAGGAACACCAGUGGCGAAGGCGGCUUACUGGACUGUAACUGACGUUGAGGCUCGAAAGCGUGGGGAGCAAACAGGAUUAGAUACCCUGGUAGUCCACGCCGUAAACGAUGAA